GACAGAGGGCGCGAACGUUGUUCGGAAUUACUGGGCGUAAAGCGCGUGUAGGCGGCAGCGCAAGUCGGGCGUGAAAUCCCACGGCUCAACCGUGGAAGUGCACUCGAAACUGCGCAGCUAGAGUCCUGGAGAGGAAGGUGGAAUGCUUGGUGUAGAGGUGAAAUUCGUAGAUAUCAAGCGGAACACCGGUGGCGAAGGCGACCUUCUGGACAGUGACUGACGCUGAGACGCGAAAGCGUGGGGAGCAAACAGG
Molecule: ribosomal RNA, 253 nt
Filed under: uncultured bacterium
Lineage: Bacteria
Description: partial 16S ribosomal RNA
Rfam family: Bacterial small subunit ribosomal RNA
Source: RNAcentral